GAUGAAGAACGUAGCGAAAUGCGAUACUUGGUGUGAAUUGCAGAAUCCCGUGAACCAUCGAGUCUUUGAACGCAAGUUGCGCCCGAAGCCACUAGGCCGAGGGCACGCCUGCCUGGGCGUCACACGUCGUUGCCCCCCCCCCAUCUACUCCUUCGGGAUUGCGGGGGGCGGAUGAUGGCCUCCCGUGCGCCUAGCCGCGCGGUUGGCAUAAAUACCAAGUCCUCGGCGACGCACGCCACGACAAUCGGUGGUUGCGAAACCUCGGUUGCCCGUCGUGUGCGUUCGUCGCGCAUCGAGGGCUCGAAAAAAUGCUCGGCUCCGGCUCGGCUUUCAACGCGACCCCAGGUCAGGCGGGGUUACCCGCUGAAUUUAAGCAUAUCAAAGCGGAGGA
RNAcentral lists this unclassified non-coding RNA (391 nucleotides) under soil metagenome. Its description in RNAcentral is "partial contains 5.8S ribosomal RNA, internal transcribed spacer 2, and large subunit ribosomal RNA". The stretch from base 1 to 122 matches the Rfam family "5.8S ribosomal RNA", at positions 35 to 154 of the family's 154-position model. The record is from RNAcentral.